GUGUUUGCUUUGGCAGCACAGGUACUAAAAUUGGAACCAUACAGAGAAGAUUAGCUUGGCCCCUGGGCAAGGCUGACAUGCAAGUUAUGAAACAUUUUGUAUUUAU
This is a small nuclear RNA of Nomascus leucogenys (northern white-cheeked gibbon), 106 nucleotides long. The record is from Ensembl. Lineage: Eukaryota; Metazoa; Chordata; Mammalia; Primates; Hylobatidae.